RNAcentral lists this ribosomal RNA (253 nucleotides) under uncultured bacterium. Its description in RNAcentral is "partial 16S ribosomal RNA". It matches the Rfam family "Bacterial small subunit ribosomal RNA", at positions 524 to 776 of the family's 1533-position model. The record is from RNAcentral.
UACAGAGGGUGCGAGCGUUAAUCGGAAUUACUGGGCGUAAAGCGUGCGUAGACGGCUAUCUAAGUCGGGUGUGAAAGCCCCGGGCUCAACCUGGGAAUUGCAUUCGAGACUGAAUAGCUAGGGUACGGUAGAGGGAAGUGGAAUUUCCGGUGUAGCGGUGAAAUGCGUAGAUAUCGGAAGGAACGCCGGUGGCGAAAGCGGCGUGCUGGACCCCUUCUGACGCUGAGGCGCGAAAGCCAGGGGAGCAAACGGG